CAAAGGAAAAACAUAAAAAAUACAUUUUUAAACAAUCAUUUUACAAAAUGUUCUUAAGUUUACUAAUAAAAAGUGUUAGCAUAAGAAGACAAUUUCAUUAUAUCCUCCAAUUUAACCACAAAUCUUGCACCAAGAUUACAUGGAAAAGCAUAUUAUAGUAUUCAUUUUACAUAGAUCUUGAAUUUUGUUGUAAUUGAAGCAAAAAGUUGUGUGUUCAAAUCUGUAAAAUUUUCGACAAAAGUUUAUUUUUACUCCAAUCUUUUCCCAAUUUUCAUAAUAAUCAAUCGAGAAUGUGACACUUUUGGAUAGCAUAGUAUACCUCUUUAUAUAUUUUUGUUGAAAACUUAGCACAAAAAAGAUGCUUUACAAAAUUUCUAAUUUUUAAACACAAGAAUGCAGACACUGAAAUGUCUUGCCUGCUUUACUUAAUAUUGUGACUAAAUUUAUGUUGAAAAUAUAAGAAUAAGAAGAUGUGGUAUGAUUGCCAAUGAGACAACUCUCCACAAGAGAACAAAUUACUCAGAAAUUAACAACUAAAGGUCGCCAUACGGCCUUCAACAAUGAGCAAAACCUAUACCGAAUAGUCAGUUAUUGAAGGCAUCGAAAUGACAAAUGUAAAACAAUUCAGAAAAAUUAUGGCCUGGUUUAUGUACAAAAUAAUGAACGAAAAACAAAUAAGAUAUAAAGCAACAAAUAACAAUAAACUGCUUCGCUGAGCGCAGCUGGAUACGCCCGCAGAGGUCCAACCCUGAACAGUUGGGGCAAAAAUGGACACAAUAUUCAAGCUUGAUACAGGUCUGAAUUUGGAUUGUAAUUAAAUAUUUGACACAUUAUAGGUUUCUGACACAGAAUAAAUGUAGUCAAAGAACUUGAAAUUGGUUGUAUGAUUUGAAUUUAUAUUCAAUUGAAGAUUUAUUGCUGUUGUGCAAUACACUGUUCUGUUGCGCAAUACUUAGUUAAUCUGUUUUCAGACUAUAUACAAAGAAUUAGCAAAAUAAAUUGUGACCCCCAAUUUUUUUCUUUGGAAAAUUGACAAUUUCUUAAAUCUUGAGGGAAAAAAAAUUGAACCCCCCCCCC
Mytilus californianus (California mussel) is the source of this 1077-nucleotide long non-coding RNA. RefSeq lists it as uncharacterized. The record is from RefSeq and is a predicted model, not a curated record. The transcript is spliced from 2 exons. Lineage: Eukaryota; Metazoa; Mollusca; Bivalvia; Mytilida; Mytilidae.